RNAcentral lists this small RNA (91 nucleotides) under Arabidopsis thaliana (thale cress). RNAcentral describes it as "ATSL167080". Lineage: Eukaryota; Viridiplantae; Streptophyta; Magnoliopsida; Brassicales; Brassicaceae. The record is from RNAcentral.
AUUAUUUAGAAUGAUCAAUUACAAAGGUUGGAAAAAUGCCGAGGGUGUCGAUCCAGUAUGCGAGUUCCCCUUUGUUUACUCUCUAAAAAGA